Molecule: ribosomal RNA, 408 nt
Filed under: uncultured bacterium
Lineage: Bacteria
Description: partial 16S ribosomal RNA
Rfam family: Bacterial small subunit ribosomal RNA
Source: RNAcentral
GACGAACGCUGGCGGCGUGCUUAACACAUGCAAGUCGAACGAAGUGGCGAACGGGUGAGUAACGCGUAAUCAACCUGCCAUUCAGAGGGGGACAACAGUUGGAAACGACUGCUAAUACCGCAUACUGAAGGCGGGGAUUGCGUCGGAUUAGCACGUUGGAGGGGUAACGGCCCACAAAGGCGAUGAUCAGUAGCCUGGCUGAGAGGAGGAACGUCCACAUGUGGACGGAGACACGGCCCAGACUCCUACGGGAGGCAGCAGUGAGGAAUAUUGGUCAAUGGGCGAGAGCCUGAACCAGCCAAGUCGCGUGAAGGAUGACUGUCUUUGGAUUGUAAACUUCUUGUGUAGGGGAAUAUGUACCCUACGAAUAAGCAUCGGCUAACUCCGUGCCAGCAGCCGCGGUAAUAC